GAGCGGGAGGCGGAGAAGGAGGCGAGGAAAGUCAGCAAGAGCAUCGACCGGGCGCUCAAGGAGCAGAAGCGGGAGUACAAGCAGACGCACCGCCUGCUGCUGCUGGGCAUAGCAGUUAACUUCAAGAUCAGAUCAUGAAAGGUCAUCUUGUGCUGAAACCUUUGUACAGGACAAGCACUGAUCUGGCAUUUUUGUAAUGGCUGAUGUAUUUUUCAGUCACCUGACAGACAUGAGUUAAAACUCUUCUGCCAGACAAUCUUCCAACUAACACUAGGGAAUAGUUCCUUUUGGAAGGCCAAGUGGCCUCAAAGAGCACUUCGGAGCGGGACACAGUGAAUUGGCACAAGUGCAUCACACCCUGUUACAGUCAAUGCAGCAGCUAAGAACACUGUAGUUUCCCAUCAGAAAGCUGUGAAGAAUCCUGUCAGUGUUCAGUAUUCACGCCUCUUUUGGGUGCGGAUUUCCCUGAAGCAGUUUUGUUAUGCAGAGGUUAUAGUUUUGGGAAGAACUGAAUAUCAUGCCAGCACCUUUAGCUGUUCAAGAGGCACACAAAGCAUUCUGGCCUACCACAGGAGACCUGUACAAAGUUACGAUGGACAUCUAAGCUAUGAUGUGCUACAGCCAUAAGUGAGGAGAUAAAUUUGAGAACUCAAGAUAGAAAACUGCAGAGCUUGGGCGAGGACCAGAUAAAUUGUUCGUGUAUGAGAACUGCGAGGAAGACUUUUCACUUACACUAUAAAGAGCAUUAAUAUACUACUAGGAAAAAAACUAAAAAUGUUCUCCUUAUUCAUAUUGGCAUGCAUCAAGCCAACUGAACUAAAGCAAGAAACAUUCUUUCUAAUAAUAUGAAAUAAAUUGUACAUGAGCUCAGAUUGAUGUGUCCUGAGGGGGACAGGCUGGUUUGUGCAGCUUUUCAUUGCCAUCAUACAAGUUUAAGAUCUAAACCAGUAAUUCUCCAAAAAACACAGUGGUAGGUCUUAAAACUUCAAAGUUAUUCAACCAUUGGCAGAUCUCAUUUCCUUUUUCAUAAUACAUACUUUGCCUUCUUGCCACUAUCUCAUCCAGAGAAAUUUGGAAGCUUGAUAAGCCUUGUUUUAUGUUGUUAUAUGUGGUAGACUUAGGAACUUUCAUUGCCCAAAUCACUACUUGUAUUUUAAGUGUUAAUGAUGGGGUUGCACUUUCAUGUAAAUAUAAAAAAAAAAGUACAGUCUGGUGACCUUCACUGCUGAAAAAGCACUAUUUGAUGCAGUGUGGUUAUGGAACCAGGUACACAUAAAAGUCUUCUCUCUUUCUUCGUGUCUGAGAUGGAUAUUUUUUUCCUUUGUUCAUUUUGUUAAUUACACAGAGUAAAGUGAUCUUGUGGGAAAAGAACUUGCAUUACACCAACCACUAUAGUUGGGAGAAACUGGGCAUGCUGUUGUGCACAUGACGUUUUGCGUCUUUUAUGGUCAGAGCAUCACUUUCAUCCUGCAAUCCAAUGUAUUGCAAGAGCCGAGCUGCCUUCUAAGGAAUCCAAGAAUGUGGCUAUUUUAUUCUACAACAUCAUAAAGGGGGAAUUUUUUUUACCAUUAGGGAUUCUUUUUACCUUUGUUCACGGUUUCUGUUUUGCUCUUUCUUGUUCAAUGAGAGUUUGAAAAGUUAGGGUUGUAAUACCUGCAGGGCAGUCUAAAUUCUGUCCCCUUCAAGAACUGAUCUGGUAACAGGAAGGGUCCUGUCCCACAGCUGUCUGAUGUGGGUCCCAAACUGAAAAUGAGCAAGAAUCAGGAACUGAGAAACACAGUUAGUUCUUGAUAUUCGGGAAAACUGGCUGCUCAGCACCUUGGCACAUGCACUGUGAUGUGUCGCUUGUGAAGAAGCGGUUACUACUUUAUAGCUGGAGGGAAGAAAUGGUGUCACGUGGACUCACUGUUAAAAAGACCAGCAUUCUUCUCAUCUAUCAAAUAAUGCUUUUUAGAUCAUGAUUGGAGUUACAUGCAAAUUUAAAUAGGUGCAGAAAAUAAGGUGUAAUUGUUACAGUCACUUUAUGAGUACUUUGUCUAUAUAGUCUCUGGAAAGUAGAUGGUUUCUGCAGAGAAUUAAUGGGUGGUAGCACUUCAGUCUUUCCAUGAAAUGACAUUCUGCUGUUGACUAGCUUACAGCAAAAUAUAACUUCAUUGUGCUUUAAUACUUUUUUUUAAAAGCUGUUAAACAUAUGUAGCUGCUAAUCAUUGGACAACGCUAAUUCACAAUAUUUCUAGCUUGGAACAUAUAAGAAAUAAUUCCUUAGUUCAGAAGGUGUAUAAUCCUCAAAGAGUAAUUGCUUAAGAAACAGGCUGGUUGCUUCAUCUGUUACAUAUUUUGCAUUUAAAACAUGGUGGUUUUCAAACCACGAUGUUUCAGUGGUAUUGGCAACAGUCAAAGACUUAAUAUUGCUUGUGGGUGGAGUCAAGAUUUCUGUACAAAAUGUUGGCAACUGAGACUGGCAAGAUUUCCUUUGCAGACUUAGUAAGUGAAUCCAUAUUAAAUGACAUGAUAUUGUGUCUUCUAUCUAACUCACACUGUACGUUACCAAAUAGUUAAGUGCAAAGCCAGUGAUUCCACGCUUUGUUAUUACACAGUAAAACUAAUACGGACACCUUUCUGUCUUCUACUGAAUUGAUAAAUUCUGUUUGUAUGUGCAUAAAAAGUAUGUAUGUAUGAGUUUGUUGGACGUAGUAAAUGAACUUUUGUUUAAAAAUUCAACCAAAUCCUUAAAAAACCGUCUGUCUGCAUCAUUUAUAAAAGGAAAAAAAAAAUACAGAGUAAUAUUAAGAAAUCUGUUUUAGGUUAUCUGUGUCAC
Long non-coding RNA from Numida meleagris (helmeted guineafowl), 2818 nucleotides. RefSeq lists it as uncharacterized. The transcript has 5 exons. Lineage: Eukaryota; Metazoa; Chordata; Aves; Galliformes; Numididae. The record is from RefSeq and is a predicted model, not a curated record.